RNAcentral lists this small RNA (776 nucleotides) under Drosophila virilis. Its description in RNAcentral is "GJ26228". Lineage: Eukaryota; Metazoa; Arthropoda; Insecta; Diptera; Drosophilidae. The record is from RNAcentral.
UUAUUCACAUGGAAAAAAAAGUUAUUAAUAAAUUAAUAACGAGAGAGUGGGUGGAACUAGUACAAUGCACCGUUGAAUGUGUUACGAUGUGAAGAUCUCAGUGAAAUUUUUAGUUUUAAUGUGUAUCUUCUACCUGGCGUCAGUAUACUGCCCACCGGCCUUCAGAAUAACAGAUGUGCACAUCUCCAGCUUGGUCCAAAAUUGCUGGCUUGGGGCAACGGCGCUGCGAAAGCUACUGUUUGUGCAACAGAGAAUAGGAGCAGAUUCCUAAAUGGGUCUAUCUAAACGUCUGCUGAACCUGCCUGUAGCGCACUUGAGAAAUAUGUCGAUUUCCUUUCAGGAGAAAUCACAGAAGCAGCCAGAGAUACAUCUCCGGUGACUCCUUCAUGCAAAAAGCGUGAUGUAUGUCAAGGCGGACAUGCUCAGCACGUCCAACCAGCUAGGACGUUUGCUGGCCAGGACCCGAAGGGAAAAUGCUGACAGCAUUCUGUAAAGAGCUGGGCAGACGGCAGAAACAAAUUCUCGGCUUGGAAAUUCCCGAGAAACAUUAAAUGACAAAACAUUCGAGAUCUCCGAUUUCGAGCAAAAGGGCCUUAACCGUGGUUGGAACAGAAGAAUGCGAAUUCGUUUUAUGACUACGUAGAAGCGAGUUUCACGCCAUUUCACUUCGCAUAUUUUGCACAGUGAGCACAAUUAUGUGGUAAGAAUAUAUGCCUAUGCCGACUGUAAGCAUCGCAAGUCGGGAACAUUUCAUCUUCUACAGUUUUAUAAUAAGU